RNAcentral lists this transfer RNA (74 nucleotides) under Halanaerobacter jeridensis. RNAcentral's name for it is "Halanaerobacter sp. CEJFG43 tRNA". It matches the Rfam family "tRNA". Rfam says of the family: Transfer RNA (tRNA) molecules are approximately 80 nucleotides in length. Their secondary structure includes four short double-helical elements and three loops (D, anti-codon, and T loops). Further hydrogen bonds mediate the characteristic L-shaped molecular structure. tRNAs have two regions of fundamental functional importance: the anti-codon, which is responsible for specific mRNA codon recognition, and the 3' end, to which the tRNAs corresponding amino acid is attached (by aminoacyl-tRNA synthetases). tRNAs cope with the degeneracy of the genetic code in two manners: having more than one tRNA (with a specific anti-codon) for a particular amino acid; and 'wobble' base-pairing, i.e. permitting non-standard base-pairing at the 3rd anti-codon position. Lineage: Bacteria; Bacillati; Bacillota; Clostridia; Halanaerobiales; Halobacteroidaceae. RNAcentral also lists the same sequence under 1 other name. The record is from Rfam by way of RNAcentral.
GGCGGCGUAGCUCAGCUGGCUAGAGCAUGCGGUUCAUACCCGCAGAGUCGGGGGUUCGAUCCCCUCCGCCGCUA